GUUAAAGCGUGGAGCUUAACUCCAUCAUGGCAGUGGAAACUGAAAGGCUUGAGUAUGGUAGGGGCAGAGGGAAUUCCCGGUGUAGCGGUGAAAUGCGUAGAUAUCGGGAAGAACACCAGUGGCGAAGGCGCUCUGCUGGGCCAUUACUGACGCUCAUGGACGAAAGCCAGGGGAGCGAAAGGGAUUAGAUACCCCUGUAGUCCUGGCCGUAAACGAUGAACACUAGGUGUCGGGGGAAUCGACCCCUUCGGUGUCGUAGCUAACGCGUUAAGUGUUCCGCCUGGGGAGUACGCACGCAAGUGUGAAACUCAAAGGAAUUGACGGGGGCCCGCACAAGCGGUGGAGUAUGUGGUUUAAUUCGAUGCAACGCGAAGAACCUUACCAGGGUUUGACAUCCUGCGAACCUCUUAGAAAUUUGAGGGUGCCUUCGGGAAUGCAGUGACAGGUGGUGCAUGGCUGUCGUCAGCUCGUGUCGUGAGAUGUUGGGUUAAGUCCCGCAACGAGCGCAACCCACGUUUUUAGUUGCCAGCAUUUAGUUGGGCACUCUAGAAAGACCGCCGGUGAUAAACCGGAGGAAGGUGUGGAUGACGUCAAGUCAUCAUGCCCCUUACACCCUGGGCUACACACGUACUACAAUGCUACGGACAAAGGGCAGCAAACUCGCGAGAGCUAGCAAAUCCCAUAAACCGUGGCUCAGUUCAGAUCGUAGGCUGCAACUCGCCUACGUGAAGUAGGAAUCGCUAGUAAUCGCAGGUCAGCAUACUGCGGUGAAUACGUUCCCGGGCCUUGUACACACCGCCCGUCACACCAUGGAAGUUGGCCAUGCCCGAAGUCGUUACUCCAACCCUUGUGGAGGAGGACGCCGAAGGUGGGGCUAAUGACUGGGGUGAAGUCGUAACAAGGUAGCCGUA
This 911-nucleotide ribosomal RNA is filed under the name uncultured bacterium. RNAcentral describes it as "bacterial SSU rRNA". It matches the Rfam family "Bacterial small subunit ribosomal RNA", at positions 594 to 1504 of the family's 1533-position model. The record is from RNAcentral.